GGUGGAGCCGAUGAUCCAGACCUGUAGUAGGUGAGUGAUGGGGUGACGCAGGAAGGUAGUCCAUCCCGGGCGGUGGUUGUCCCGGGGUAAGGGUGUAGGCCGUGCGGUAGGUAAAUCCGUCGCACACGAGGCUGAGACCUGAUGCCGAGCCGAUUGUGGUGAAGUGGAUGAUCCUAUGCUGUCGAGAAAAGCCUCUAGCGAGUUUCAUGGCGGCCCGUACCCUAAACCGA
This 230-nucleotide ribosomal RNA is filed under the name Streptomyces sp. NRRL F-4707. Its description in RNAcentral is "partial 23S ribosomal RNA". It matches the Rfam family "Bacterial large subunit ribosomal RNA", at positions 1408 to 1657 of the family's 2925-position model. The record is from RNAcentral. Lineage: Bacteria; Bacillati; Actinomycetota; Actinomycetes; Kitasatosporales; Streptomycetaceae.